RNAcentral lists this transfer-messenger RNA (337 nucleotides) under Lachnospiraceae. RNAcentral describes it as "NK4A136 sp015057055 Standard tmRNA". It matches the Rfam family "transfer-messenger RNA". Rfam says of the family: Bacterial tmRNA, also known as 10Sa RNA or SsrA, is named for its dual tRNA and mRNA-like properties. The record is from RNAcentral. RNAcentral also lists the same sequence under 1 other name. Lineage: Bacteria; Bacillati; Bacillota; Clostridia; Lachnospirales.
GGGCUUGACAGGUUUCGACGGGGCAUUUUAAGUUGAAGAAGCUAUCCGCAGGUGAUGCGUUAAAUCACAAAUUAAAAAUAAACGCUGAAGAAAAUUUAGCAUACGCUGCCUAAGGGCAGCUGUCCUGCCUAGUGCACCUACACACUAGGGCCAGGGCAUCGGUCUUGUAGGAAACGCGCUUGCAAAGCUUUGCGCAGGCGGCAGAUUUAUGAAGCUACUAAAACCGUUACGGUGUCUAUGACGGGGCGGCAGAGGGAAUGUUAAUCCACAGACUAUGAUAGUAGAAGGGCAAUGGCGAAUGUUUCGGACGCGGGUUCAAAUCCCGCCAGGUCCACUA